AUACGGAAGGUCCGGGCGUUAUCCGGAUUUAUUGGGUUUAAAGGGAGCGCAGGCGGAGAUGCAAGCGUGACGUCAAAUUUCGGGGCUCAACCCCGUCUCGCGUCGCGAACUGCGUCCCUUGGUUGCGGGAAGGGGAGGCGGAACUCGUGGCGUAGCGGGGCAAUGCAUAGAUAUCACGAAGAACUCCGAUCGCGAAGGCAGCCUUCCGGCCCGUCAACGACGCUCAUGCACGAAAGUGCGGGGAUCGAACAGGAUUAGAUACCCUGGUAGUCCGCACAGUAAACGAUGAAUACUUGUUUUCGGCGAUAUAAUGUCGGAGGCAAAGCGAAAGCGAUAAGUAUUCCACCUGGGGAGUACGCCGGCAACGGUGAAACUCAAAUGAAUUGGCGGGG
RNAcentral lists this ribosomal RNA (392 nucleotides) under uncultured bacterium. RNAcentral describes it as "partial 16S ribosomal RNA". It matches the Rfam family "Bacterial small subunit ribosomal RNA", at positions 523 to 918 of the family's 1533-position model. The record is from RNAcentral.